AUGGAAGGGCCGCUGAGACUCCCAGGAGGAAGGGGCUGCCGCACCUGCCUGGGUGAAGCCGAGGGAGUAGACAGUGUUUCCUGCAGGCCCUCGUCCGGGGCCCUCCUGCUUCGGGACCUGAGGCCGUCUCCAGCCCCGCCCGAGCCCCGUGAGCAGCCCGGCCACAGGGCUGGGGCAGCUGCAGUGCUGACCUCCCCUCCCAGCGCCAGGCCCAGGCCCCGGGCCUGGAUGAGGGCGCGCGUCUGCUCCUUCGCACAAGCAGGGUCCCGUCCGGGGCCCGCGCGCGGCCCGGGCCGACCUGGCCUCUGCAGAAACCUGCCUUGCGGGGUAGCCCUGAGUGUUAACCACGGGGACAGGAGGAAAAAGAGCACACAAGGCCAGAACACCACCCGGCUGAGGGCACUGGGCAAGCGCUCGCCUCUCCUUCUCCUGACCCACCCAAGGCCCAGCGGAGGCGUCUGAACCCAGCCCUCACUAACGCCCGGAUCAUGUCUUCUCAUCUGCUGGCUGUGCCCUGGCUCCCUCUAACCCAGGUAACAGGAUCCGGUCCAGCAAAGAUCAAGCUGCCACUGUCUUUGCCGCUUACAGGAUUCCAGUCGUUUCUUGAGUCAUGGCCAAGGAAGAAUUAAUCAAAAAAACCCAAAGUCACUUUGGAAACUUGGGGGAAAGAUUCAGUCUCUCAAAACUUUAGUUUCUUCACACGUAAAACAGAGAUUCCAAUACCUCCUUUGUGAUUAGAAGUAAUCAUAAGCUUAGAGAAUGUGGUACAGAAUAUAUGUCCAGGGAAGUGUUGACAGGAUACCUUCCUGACCCAGAAAGUUGGCAUGCAAAUAAUCAGAAAACACACGUGGCCUCAUCCUCUCCUCCCAAGGAUGUACCUCCCUGUAAGAAACUGAAAGUUGCUCAGUCUCCUUUUGACCCCGUGGACAGUAUAGCCCCAAAGACUCCUCUGUCCAUGGGAUUCUCCAGGCAAGAGUACUGAAGCGGGUUGCCAUUUCCUUCU
Molecule: long non-coding RNA, 1003 nt
Filed under: Capra hircus (goat)
Lineage: Eukaryota; Metazoa; Chordata; Mammalia; Artiodactyla; Bovidae
Description: lncRNA (ENSCHIG00010017525.1)
Source: RNAcentral